GGGGGAAAUUGUUGGACAAUUGGUAGUUGGAUCAGUGUGUCAAAAUUUUAGGGAUUUGGCAUUUCAAAGCUAUAAUUCAAAGUACUCCCAGCUGCUCAUUUCCAAUGGUUCACCACUACAGCCAAUUAGAACAUGCCCCAAGACUCUGAAGCUCUAAAUAGAAAGUGCUUAUCUUAAAUUCAUUUGCUUUUUGCAAUUUUCGGUAUGAGUCAAUUGAAAUAUGAGUGGUUAAUAAAAG
RNAcentral lists this unclassified non-coding RNA (238 nucleotides) under Hevea brasiliensis (rubber tree). Lineage: Eukaryota; Viridiplantae; Streptophyta; Magnoliopsida; Malpighiales; Euphorbiaceae. The record is from RNAcentral.